AAAGGCUACGAUUAAAACCUAGACCCUUAUUUUUCCCUCCCCUCUCUCUCUCUCUCUCACCCUCCAGCCGACAUCCCCCUCUCCGUGGGUCUUCCCCUUCACGCAGCAGCCACCCACGCCUCAGCCCCUGCUCAGCCGCGCGCCACCACUACCCACCGGCGACCUCCAUCCGCCUCCGACCUCCACCCCACCGCAGAUCCCCUUCCAGAAACGCACCCCGUUCCUCUCUCCCUGAUUUCUCCCUCACGACACCUCUCCUCAGCCAGCUGCCGCCGCGAACCCUUCCCUAAGCCUCUGUCACCGGCGAAUUCCCCAUCUCAGGUGCUCUUCUCUUUCCCUUCCCUAAGCCUCUGUCUCUCUAUCUCUCGGUACCCACCGUUUGCCGCCGCCCAAUGCCACCGUUAGUCCCACCACGAGUGAUCCCCAGCCCUCCACUAAAGCUUCCCCUCACUUUUCCGUCGAGUCCCCCCUCCCCUCACGGAUCCUCCUACCCACGCCUAGCGCAUCCGCGAGAUCCCUUUACGCCACCGUCGUCCAGCCACCAUGGGUAGCCAAGCCCCCGAUCCCCCACCGUGCGAAGCUCUCCCUCACCCCUUGCCGACGUUCUCUCUCUCUCUCUACCUCUCGGAUUUGGGUAGAUCCGUGUGCCUCAACCUGUGCACCACCCUUGGCCACCCACAGCCGCCGCUCAACCCUCCCAGGCCUGUCAGCCACCUUAAGCCACCAGUUAGCACGAGCCCGCCAUCCACGACCAACCAACCAACCACCACCCCACGUCGGGAAAUGCCCAGCUUUGCUGUCACAGCAACUGUAAAGCUCAGCCCCACACUCCGUCGAACCGUGAUGGGCACAGUGUUCUUUUCCAUCUCCUGAAUUAAAAGUGUGCGAUGCUCCUUCAGCAUGGAUCGUAUCUCUAUGAUAGUAGCCACUACAACCUGUCUAUCAACAGCAGUAUCAGUUGAAGCUGGAUCACGCUCUAUGCCACUAUCUUGUGCUGCUAGAACAUUAAUGUGAGAUUUUCGCAAGUGGCCCUCGCUCUUGUUGAAUGUGAUCUUGUUAAAGGGCUCAAUCUGUGGUUGUCUCUGUUGUCAUUAGCACAUUAAUCCUCAAUUGCACUAGGAGGUUAGAGAUCAUCGACGCAUACGGUAGACUACAUCUACUCAAAUACUAUGACUCAGAUCAGAUGCGAAUGAGGAAGUAUAAAGGUAGAUCAAUCGGAGCUUCUCGUGCUAUUCAUAACAUAAAUUGAGCUCGUUUGAUAUCGAAAUCAGUCUUAUGUUUCUUCAGAUCAAUAUUAUGUGACACAAUCAAUUGAUGAAUCUUGGCAUGGGUGGGACCCUCAUCUGUUGGAGCCUCAUCCUCAAUGACACACCAUCUAUCCUACUGUUGAUUGUUGUGCAAGGUAUACACUAAUCUCACGAGGGAUCGCAAGAAAAUCAAAGAUAAUAUCUACUGAUGUAGUAGUGGUCACUCCUCUUUAGGCUCCAUUUGACACAUGCCAAUAAAACUCAAUGACCAUGUCUGGAUA
This is a long non-coding RNA of Carya illinoinensis, 1528 nucleotides long. RefSeq lists it as uncharacterized. Lineage: Eukaryota; Viridiplantae; Streptophyta; Magnoliopsida; Fagales; Juglandaceae. The record is from RefSeq and is a predicted model, not a curated record. The transcript has 2 exons.